RNAcentral lists this ribosomal RNA (277 nucleotides) under uncultured Oscillospiraceae bacterium. RNAcentral's name for it is "partial 16S ribosomal RNA". It matches the Rfam family "Bacterial small subunit ribosomal RNA", at positions 511 to 788 of the family's 1533-position model. The record is from RNAcentral. Lineage: Bacteria; Bacillati; Bacillota; Clostridia; Eubacteriales; Oscillospiraceae.
GCAGCCGCGGUAAUACGUAGGUCACGAGCGUUAUCCGGAAUUAUUGGGCGUAAAGAGUGAGCAGGCGGCUUGGCAAGUCUGGGGUGAAAGAAUGGGGCUCAACCCCAUCCAGCCUUGGAAACUACCUGGCUAGAGUGCGCGAGAGGUUAACGGAACUCCAUGUGUAGCGGUGAAAUGCGUAGAUAUAUGGAAGAACACCAGUGGCGAAGGCGGUUAACCAGCGCUGCACUGACGCUCAGUCACGAAAGCGUGGGGAGCAAAUAGGAUUAGAUACCCC